AGAUUGAACGCUGGCGGCAGGCCUAACACAUGCAAGUCGAGCGGUAGAGAGGUGCUUGCAUCUCUUGAGAGCGGCGGACGGGUGAGUAAUGCCUAGGAAUCUGCCUAGUGGUGGGGGAUAACGUUCGGAAACGGACGCUAAUACCGCAUACGUCCUACGGGAGAAAGCGGGGGACCUUCGGGCCUCGCGCCAUUAGAUGAGCCUAGGUCGGAUUAGCUAGUUGGUGAGGUAUGGCUCACCAAGGCGACGAUCCGUAACUGGUCUGAGAGGAUGAUCAGCCACACUGGGACUGAGACACGGCCAGACUCGAGGGAGCAGCGGAGGAAUAGUGGACAAGUGGGCGAAAGCCUAGAUCAG
This 357-nucleotide ribosomal RNA is filed under the name uncultured soil bacterium. Its description in RNAcentral is "bacterial SSU rRNA". It matches the Rfam family "Bacterial small subunit ribosomal RNA", at positions 26 to 391 of the family's 1533-position model. The record is from RNAcentral.